AUGCAGGCACUGGCGCGGGCGGCGCGGGGGCUCUGGCCGGCGGCGGGGAGGGGGCAGGUGCAGGUGCAGCCGGCGCGGGGGAUCGUGGUGCAGGUGAGGGACGGCAACCUGGAGCGCGCGCUGCAGGUGAUGGAGCGCAAGAUGCGGUCCAGCGGCAUCGAGCGGCUCAUCAAGCGCCGGACGGAGCACCACGUCAAGAACUCGGAGAAGCGCGUGCUCGCGCGCAAGGCGCUCAUGGCGCGCGUCCGCUCCCAGGAGCUCGGCAAGAGCCUCCGCGACAUCCUCAUCAAGAAGAUCAGGGGUCAGUAA
RNAcentral lists this ribosomal RNA (309 nucleotides) under Triticum aestivum (bread wheat). RNAcentral's name for it is "partial small subunit ribosomal RNA". Lineage: Eukaryota; Viridiplantae; Streptophyta; Magnoliopsida; Poales; Poaceae. The record is from RNAcentral.